AAUAUUUCGCAAUGGAGGGAACUCUGACGCAGCGACGCCGCGUGAGCGAUGAAGGUCUUCGGAUCGUAAAGCCCUGUCUUUGGGGAAGAAGGUCUUCGGACUUGACGGUACCUUGGGAGGAAGCCCCGGCUAACUACGGGCCAGCAGCCGCGGUACUACGUAGGGGGCAAGCGUUGUCCGGAAUUAUUGGGCGUAAAGGGUGCGUAGGCGGCUUGUUAAGUCAGAUGUGAAAGCCCACGGCUUAACCGUGGGACUGCAUUUGAAACUGGAGGGCUUGAGUAUCGGAGAGGGUAGUGGAAUUCCCAGUGUAGCGGUGGAAUGCGUAGAUAUUGGGAGGAACACCAGUGGCGAAGGCGACUACCUGGACGAAAACUGACGCUGAGGCACGAAAGCUAGGGGAGCAAACA
Molecule: ribosomal RNA, 407 nt
Filed under: uncultured bacterium
Lineage: Bacteria
Description: partial 16S ribosomal RNA
Rfam family: Bacterial small subunit ribosomal RNA
Source: RNAcentral